Molecule: ribosomal RNA, 360 nt
Filed under: Nitrososphaeria archaeon
Lineage: Archaea; Thermoproteati; Nitrososphaerota; Nitrososphaeria
Description: bacterial SSU rRNA
Rfam family: Archaeal small subunit ribosomal RNA
Source: RNAcentral
GGAGGAAGGAGCGGGCCACGGCAGGUCAGUAUGCCCCGAAUCCCCCGGGCCGCACGCGACGUUCAAUGGUGGGGACAAUGGGUUGCGACCCCGAAAGGGGGAGCCAAUCCCUAAACCCCACCUCAGUUGGGAUCGAGGGUUGCAACUCGCCCUCGUGAACGCGGAAUCCCUAGUAACCGCCCGUUACCAUCGGGCGGUGAAUACGUCCCCGCUCCUUGCACACACUGCCCGUCGCUGCAUCCGAGCUGGGUCUGAGCGAGGCCCAGUCUUGUUGGCUGGGUCGAGCUCAGACUUGGCGAGGAGGCAGAAGUCGUAACAAGGUGGCCGUACGGGAACGUGCGGCCGGAUCACCUCCUACCG